This 406-nucleotide ribosomal RNA is filed under the name uncultured bacterium. Its description in RNAcentral is "bacterial SSU rRNA". It matches the Rfam family "Bacterial small subunit ribosomal RNA", at positions 355 to 776 of the family's 1533-position model. The record is from RNAcentral.
UCACGAAUCUUCCGCAAUGGUCGCAAGACUGACGGAGCAAUGCCGCGUGCAGGAUGAAGGUUUUCGGAUCGUAAACUGCUUUUAUCAGGGAAGAACAAAUGACGGUACCUGAUGAAUAAGCCACUGCUAAACUCGUGCCAGCAGCAGCGGUAAUACGAGUGUGGCAAGCGUUAUCCGGAAUUAUUGGGUGUAAAGCGUCUCUAGGCGGUCUAAAAAGUUCUUGGUCAAACCUUCUGGCUCAACCAGAAGUGUGCCAAGAAAACUUUUAGACUAGAGAAUGGGAGAGGCAAGCGGAAUGGCCGGUGUAGUAGUUAAAUGCGUUAAUAUCGGCUAGAACACCAAAAGCGAAGGCAGCUUGCUGGAACAUUUCUGACGCUCACAGACGAAGGCGUGGGGAGCGAAUGGG